Molecule: ribosomal RNA, 442 nt
Filed under: Apanteles sp. 2 SY-2018
Lineage: Eukaryota; Metazoa; Arthropoda; Insecta; Hymenoptera; Braconidae
Description: partial 16S ribosomal RNA
Source: RNAcentral
UCACCUGUUUUUCAAAAACAUGUCUUAAAGAUUAUAAUUUUAAGUCUAAUCUGCUCAAUGAAAAAUUUAAAUAGCUGCAGUAUAAAUAACUGUACUAAGGUAGCAUAAUAAAUUGUUUUUUAAUUAAAAACUAGAAUGAAUGAUUAAAUGAAAUAUAGACUGUCUCAUAAUAAAAUAAUAAAAUUAUUAUUUAAGUAAAAAAACUUAAAUUAAUUUUAAAGACGAGAAGACCCUAAAGAAUUUCAUUAUUUAAAUUUUAAAUUAUUAAAUUAAAUUUAAAUAAUUUAAUUGGGGAAAUUUUAAAAUUUAAUUAAUUUUUAAUAAAAUAAAACAUUUAUUUUUGAAUAAUUAAUAUUUUUUAAAAAAAUAAAUAAAAUUACCUUAGGGAUAACAGCAUAAUUUUAUUUAAAAGUUCAAAUUUAUAUUAAAGUUUAUGACCUCG